GUCUUUUUGAUUAUAAUUUAAAGUCUAACCUGCCCAAUGAGGAUUUAAAUGGCCGCGGUAAUUUGACCGUGCAAAGGUAGCAUAAUCAUUAGUUUUUUAAUUGAAAGCUGGUAUGAAUGGUUGGACGAGAAAAUGGCUGUCUCAAUUUAAUUUUUAAUAGAAUUUUAUUUAUAAGUAAAAAAGCUUAUAUAUAUUUAAAAGACGAGAAGACCCUAUAGAAUUUUAUAUUUGUAUGUAUUUGUGUUUUUUAGAAGUUUAGUAUAUUUAUAUAUACAAAUAUUUUGUUGGGGCGAUGGGGAAAUUUAAUAAACUUUCUUUUGUAUUAAAUCAUUAAUGAAUGAAUUAUUGAUCCGUUAUUAACGAUUAUAAGAAUAAAUUACCUUAGGGAUAACAGCGUAAUUUUUUUUUAGAGUUCUUAUCGAAAAAAGAGUUUGCGACCUCGAUGUUGGAUUAAAAUUAACUUAUGGUGUAGGGGCUAUAAAGUUGGGUCUGUUCGACCUUUAAAAUUUUACAUGAUCUGAGU
RNAcentral lists this ribosomal RNA (523 nucleotides) under Cyclocephala porioni. RNAcentral's name for it is "partial 16S ribosomal RNA". It matches the Rfam family "Bacterial large subunit ribosomal RNA", at positions 1819 to 2610 of the family's 2925-position model. RNAcentral also lists the same sequence under 1 other name. The record is from RNAcentral. Lineage: Eukaryota; Metazoa; Arthropoda; Insecta; Coleoptera; Scarabaeidae.